GACGAACGCUGGCGGCGUGCCUAAUACAUGCAAGUCGAGCGGACUGAUUAAGAGCUUGCUCUUAUGACGUUAGCGGCGGACGGGUGAGUAACACGUGGGCAACCUGCCCUGUAGAUCGGGAUAACACCGAGAAAUCGGUGCUAAUACCGGGUAAUAUCUGAGAUCACAUGAUCUUAGGUUAAAAGAUGGCUCCGGCUAUCACUACAGGAUGGGCCCGCGGCGCAUUAGCUAGUUGGUAAGGUAAUGGCUUACCAAGGCGACGAUGCGUAGCCGACCUGAGAGGGUGAUCGGCCACACUGGGACUGAGACACGGCCCAGACUCCUACGGGAGGCAGCAGUAGGGAAUCUUCCGCAAUGGACGAAAGUCUGACGGAGCAACGCCGCGUGAGUGAUGAAGGGGUUCGGCUCGUAAAGCUCUGUUGUUAGGGAAGAAACAGUACCGAACGAACUAGGUCGGUACCUUGACGGUACCUAACCAGAAAGCCACGGCUAACUACGUG
RNAcentral lists this ribosomal RNA (500 nucleotides) under uncultured bacterium. Its description in RNAcentral is "partial 16S ribosomal RNA". It matches the Rfam family "Bacterial small subunit ribosomal RNA", at positions 28 to 507 of the family's 1533-position model. The record is from RNAcentral.